GCGAGGGUGGGAGAGCCGGUCAAAUCCGCUAGCUUGAGGGGCUAGUCCCUUAGUGGGUACGCGUGUUCGAAUCACGUCCCUCGCA
Molecule: transfer RNA, 85 nt
Filed under: Nanobdellota archaeon
Lineage: Archaea; Nanobdellati; Nanobdellota
Also listed under: 2 other names
Description: tRNA-Leu
Source: RNAcentral